RNAcentral lists this ribosomal RNA (663 nucleotides) under Collybiopsis confluens. RNAcentral describes it as "partial 28S ribosomal RNA". It matches the Rfam family "Eukaryotic large subunit ribosomal RNA", at positions 1 to 644 of the family's 3401-position model. The record is from RNAcentral. Lineage: Eukaryota; Fungi; Basidiomycota; Agaricomycetes; Agaricales; Omphalotaceae.
UUGACCUCAAAUCAGGUAGGAUUACCCGCUGAACUUAAGCAUAUCAAUAAGCGGAGGAAAAGAAACUAACAAGGAUUCCCCUAGUAACUGCGAGUGAAGAGGGAAAAGCUCAAAUUUAAAAUCUGGCAGUCGUUGAUUGUCCGAGUUGUAAUUUAGAGAAGUGCUACCCGUGUUGGCCCGUGUACAAGUUUCCUGGAAUGGAAUGUCAUAGAGGGUGAGAAUCCCGUCUUUGACACGGACUACCAAUGCAUUGUGGUGUGCUCUCGAAGAGUCGAGUUGUUUGGGAAUGCAGCUCUAAAUGGGUGGUAAAUUCCAUCUAAAGCUAAAUAUUGGGGAGAGACCGAUAGCGAACAAGUACCGUGAGGGAAAGAUGAAAAGAACUUUGGAAAGAGAGUUAAAUAGUACGUGAAAUUGCUGAAAGGGAAACGCUUGAAGUCAGUCACGUUAGUUUGGGAUCAGCCUUUCCUUCGGGGUUGGUGUACUUCCAGAUUGACGGGUCAGCAUCAGUUUUGGCCGGUAGAUAAAAGCUUGAGGAAUGUGGCAUCUUCGGGUGUGUUAUAGCCUCUUGUUGUAUACAUCGGCUGGGACUGAGGAACUCAGCAUGCCGCAAGGCCGGGUUUUUAACCACGUUCAUGCUUAGGAUGCUGGCAUAAUGGCUUUAAU